Molecule: transfer RNA, 65 nt
Filed under: Micrambina sp. MIC01
Lineage: Eukaryota; Metazoa; Arthropoda; Insecta; Coleoptera; Cryptophagidae
Description: tRNA-Ala
Source: RNAcentral
AGGAUAAUAGUUAAACAUAACAUUUAAUUUGCAUUUAAAAAGUAUUGAUAAUUCAAUUUAUCUUA